This 497-nucleotide ribosomal RNA is filed under the name uncultured bacterium. Its description in RNAcentral is "partial 16S ribosomal RNA". It matches the Rfam family "Bacterial small subunit ribosomal RNA", at positions 28 to 507 of the family's 1533-position model. The record is from RNAcentral.
GAUGAACGCUGGCGGCGUGCCUAAUACAUGCAAGUCGAGCGAACAGACGAGGAGCUUGCUCCUCUGACGUUAGCGGCGGACGGGUGAGUAACACGUGGAUAACCUCCCUAUAUGACUGGGAUAACUUCGGGAAACCGGAGCUAAUACCGGAUAAUAUAUUGAACCGCAUGGUUCAAUAGUGAAAGACGGUUUUGCUGUCACUUAUAGAUGGAUCCGCGCCGCAUUAGCUAGUUGGUAAGGUAACGGUUUACCAAGGCAACGAUGCGUAGCCGACAUGAGAGAGUGAACGGCCACACUGUAACUGAGACACGGUCCAGACUCCUACGGGGGGCAGCAGUAUGGAAUCUUCCACAAUGGGCGAAAGCCUGACGGAGCAACGCCGCGUGAGUGAUGAAGGUCUUCGGCUCGUAAAACUCUGUUAUUAGGGAAGAACAAAUGUGUAAGUAACAAUGCACGUCUUGACGGUACCUGAUCAGAAAGCCACGGCUAACUACGUG